AAUAUCUACGAAUUUCACCUCUACACUAGAAAUUCUGCUUUCCUCUAUCAUACUCUAGCUGAAAAGUUUUGAUGGCAGUUCCAGAGUUAAGCUCUGGGAUUUCACCACCAACUUUUUCAACCACCUACGAACUCUUUAAGCCCAGUAAUUCCGAACUACGCUAGGUCCCUUCGUAUUACCGCGGCUGCUGGCACGAAGUUAGCCGGACCUUCUUAUUCGGGUACAGUCAUUUUCUUCCCCGACGAAAGAGCUUUACAACCCAAAGGCCUUCUUCACUCACGCGGCAUCGCUGCAUCAGAGUUUCCUCCAUUGUGCAAGAUUCCCCACUGCUGCCUCCCGUAGGAGUUUGGGCCGUGUCUCAGUCCCAAUGUGGCUGAUCAUCCUCGCAAAUCAGCUAUUGAUCAUAGUCUUGGUAGGCCAUUACCCUACCAACAAACUAAUCAAGUGCGGGCUCAUCCAAUGGUGCAUAAAGCUUUCUCCGUAAAGACUUAUCCGGUAUUAGCACAAGUUUCCUCGUGUUAUUCCAGGCCAAAGGGUAGAUACCCACAUGUUACUCACCCGUCUGCCAUUAAGUAUUGCUACUUCGUUCGACUUGCAUGUGUUAGGCGUGCCGCCAGCGUACGUUUUGAGCCAGGAUCAAACUCU
This 645-nucleotide ribosomal RNA is filed under the name uncultured bacterium. RNAcentral's name for it is "partial 16S ribosomal RNA". The record is from RNAcentral.